RNAcentral lists this unclassified non-coding RNA (326 nucleotides) under soil metagenome. RNAcentral's name for it is "partial contains 5.8S ribosomal RNA, internal transcribed spacer 2, and large subunit ribosomal RNA". The stretch from base 1 to 120 matches the Rfam family "5.8S ribosomal RNA", at positions 35 to 154 of the family's 154-position model. The record is from RNAcentral.
GAUGAAGAACGUAGCGAAAUGCGAUAAGUAGUGUGAAUUGCAGACUUUAGUGAAUCAUCGAAUCUUUGAACGCACAUUGCGCCCCUUGGUAUUCCAUUGGGCAUGCCUGUUCGAGCGUCAUUUACACCCUCAAGCCUAGCUUGGUGUUGGGCGUUGUCCGCAAGGACUCGCCUCAAAUUCAUUGGCAGCGGCAUCGUCAGCUUCUCGCGCAGCACAUUGCGCUUCAGAAGGCUUCUGGCGGGCUCGCGUCCACUAAGAUACCACCCAGUUUGACCUCGAAUCAGGUAGGGAUACCCGCUGAACUUAAGCAUAUCAAUAAGCGGAGA